GAUGAACGCUAGCGGCAGGCCUAUACAUGCAAGUCGAGGGAGAAUGUUGGAUUCGUCUGACAUGAAACCGGCGCACGGGUGCGUAACACGUAUGCAACCUACCUUUAACUGGGGUAUAGCUCAGAGAAAUCUGAAUUAAUCCCCCAUAAGACUACGACAUGGCAUCAUGAUGUAGUUAAAGCUCCGGCGGUUAAGGAUGGGCAUGCGGUACAUUAGCUAGUUGGUGAGGUAAUGGCUCACCAAGGCUACAAUGUAUAGGGGGUCUGAGAGGAUGAUCCCCCACACUGGUACUGAGACACGGACCAGACUCCUACGGGAGGCAGCAGUAGGGAAUAUUGGUCAAUGGACGCAAGUCUGAACCAGCCAUGCCGCGUGAAGGAUGAAGGCCCUAUGGGUCGUAAACUUCUUUUAUUAGGGAAGAAAAAACGGGAUGCGUCCUGUACUGACGGUACUUAAUGAAUAAGGAUCGGCUAACUUCGUGCCAGCAGCCGCAGUAA
Molecule: ribosomal RNA, 497 nt
Filed under: uncultured bacterium
Lineage: Bacteria
Description: partial 16S ribosomal RNA
Rfam family: Bacterial small subunit ribosomal RNA
Source: RNAcentral